GAGAAACUAAUUAUUGACUCUAAAGAUAACAUGUUAUUGAGUUUUACAUGUCUAGUUCAAAGAAUGAGAGUACUCAAGCAUAUUUCAAAGAAUGAGUGUAAUUAAGCAUAUUUUAAAGAAUGAAGGUACUCAAACAUAUUUAUACAUUCAACCGCACGAGAAUCUGAGCAACUUCAACAUCCACCCUCACGUCUAGCGUGGUUCUGGUUUCAAUUCCCGCAUUGCAAUCCUUAACCCAACUGUGAUACCAUGUUAAAUAGGUUUGAAUCUCAUCCCAAAGUUUAGCUCAAAGAAUGAGGGUACUCAAACAUAUUUUACACUCAAGUCAAUAGCCCUGAAUCCUAAGCAAUGUGAGACAAAUAACAUACUACAAAUAACUUCAAAACCGACUUCAACAACAGUGAUAUAAUCAUUUUAUGUUUUACUAAAUAUUACCUUCGUAAAUAGUAUAUUUAUUACUUUUUUGUUAUCAUUGGAACCAAAAUAUUGUUCAUUAAGUGCCAAUUGAUCCCACAAGCAAUAUAUGAGAGACUAAAAUUCCUAAAUUUCUUGUUAUUAAAAAAUAUGGGAAAUAUGAGAAGGAUUUAGAAACAUGGUAUCAAGGUUAAUUCUGUCAGCAUCUUGUACCAUUGUUCUUCUCUCGCGUGCUAUAGUUUUUUCUUUCUUUCUUUCCUUAUUGGUGUGAUUGAAGCAUGCCUCUUGAUGGCCAAGAGUCAAUUAUUUAUAAAUAGUUAUAAAUGAUUAUAAUUAUUUAUUAUGAGGGAGUCCUUUUGAAAAUCACUCUUACAAAACAUGGAAGAAUAAACCACAUCUAAGAAUUUUUGUUUCAAAUAGUGUAAUAAAGAAAUCUACAAUCUAAGUGAGAAGAAGAAGAACAUUGUGGGUGUAUACAUUUCAAAACUCAAAUAUCCUUGCAACUUUUUAACAUAUGAGAUGCAAUUAUGAUAUUAUAUUCAAGCAUUUGUAAUAUAAUUAUUUUUUUGGUACAAUUUCUAAAGUUAUUAUGUAUAUACUUUUUGGAAAAUUUAUAGGGACUAAAAGCUGAAGGAAAAUUUUAGAGGGACUAAAACAAAAAGUUGACAUAUUUAUAGGGAUCAAAAACAUAAUUAACCCUUAUUUUUUUGCUACAAUUUCUAAAGUUAUUAUGUAUAUACUUUUCCUCUGUUUUUGUUGGUGGACACACACACACUCAUGUAUGUAUAUUUUACUCUUUUUUAACGGAAAAUGUUAAUGAUUAUCCUAAAGAUACUAUUUAAAGACUUUAGAUAUCAACCACGUUGGGAUAUUUCGGACUCCCCUUAAUACCUUUCAUAUCUCUUGGUUUAUCAUGAAAAAAAAAUUAUUCAUAUAUAUUAUUUUAUAAAUAUUUAUCAUAUUGACAUUAAUUACUUUGUUGUCGUUAUCAAAAGUGCUGGAAAACUUUGAUCAACCGUACUUAUAUAUUAAUUUAUUUUUACAGCUACUUAUUUUAAAUCACACGUAUGAUUGGUUACCUGCAUAUUAUAAUACCUUGCCAUAUCAGAUUCCAAUAGCAACCCAGCACCAUAUGUUUGGCUCUAUCUAUAUGCAUACACUGUUUCUUCUACCUUUCCACGUUGCGAAAAGUCGUAUAAUAUAAAAUUUGAGUGGGUUUUUUUUAACUUUAUAUGAAUAGUUGAAAUUACGUCUUCUUAAAUAAUAAUAGUAUCGGUCUUAUGUAUAAGAUCCUCUUAAAAAAAUUAUUAUCCAGUUUUAUAAUAUCCACUUCAAAAUUUAAGAUGUAUUGGUAAAGCUACUCUUAGAAAAAUAUUUUUAAUUAAACCAAGAGAAUUAAAAUAACAAAUCAUAUCUCUUAAAAAUAAUUUUAGAGAAAAUUAUAUAUUAGAAUAAUUCAGUGUAAUAACUACUCCCUUUUUUUCCUUCUUAUGUUUUUUGAUAAACCAGGAGAAAAGACAUGCCUGACACACUAAUAUCCCAACUAGGUUGGCAUUCUGGGAACCACCAUCCUAUACGCCAAUCUCAAAUUUUAUUAAAAAAAGAGGAAACAAUAUAUAUACAAAAAGGGAAGACUAGGUUAAAACUCUCGGAAACAAAAAACAACAAAAUAAAAGCUACCACCAAUUAGGGAAAUCUGCAGUUUAGAAACCACAUCUGUCACGGAAGAAACACCAAUACUUCUCCUCCAAUACCAAGCCGGAGAAGUAAAUUCUUUAAAGUAACUCGAGUGUCGGAGUUACCAAUGCCUCUGACAUUCCAGAAAAAAAUAUUCGAAGUAACUCUUAUGUUCUUCUCAAUGAGAUCUUACAUAUAUGACAAAGGUAGUAACUCUUGUUAUGAAAUAUCAUAGUCAAAGUUCUUAAAAAUUGGUAUUCAACCUUUGAAUAGAAAACCUUUGAAUAUAUAGAAAACCUUCCCAAAGCAACCAGUAACGAAGAGUCCAAUUCAGUGACGACAUCUUCCUAGUGGUUGUUGUUGUACGAUUCCGUACUCCAGGCGUGUGUACAAAAGCAUGGAAAUUUAAAACACGAGUAGUUAUCUAUACGAAAUUGUGAUGUGCAAGUUUCAUUUUCUUGAGAAGAAAAAGUAGCAACUUGUUAAUUCAUUUCGUUAUGUUAGUUCAAUAAAAGAAGAAUACAAGGUUGAAAAUCAUAUCAUUUGAUUAUUAUAAACACAAUAUUAAUCAUAUUAUAUGAUUG
RNAcentral lists this long non-coding RNA (2675 nucleotides) under Medicago truncatula (barrel medic). RNAcentral's name for it is "long non-coding RNA (MTRU_LNC001562)". Lineage: Eukaryota; Viridiplantae; Streptophyta; Magnoliopsida; Fabales; Fabaceae. The record is from RNAcentral.